UGGAAGGUUGGGUCUGGUGAAAAAGUUAGGUUUUGGGAAGACACCUGGUUUGGUACCUCCCCCUUAGCAGUGCAAUUCUGGCCUAUCUACUCUAUUUGUAAUGAACAAACCAAAAGUGUCAGGGAAGUAUGGGAUGGUAUGCAACUUAGGCUUACUUUUAGAAGGAAUUUUGAUGACAAACUCAUGGAACAGUGGUAUCAGUUAGUGGAGAUAACUAGUAGCGUGACCCUUACCAAUGGAACUGAUGCCCUUGUCUGGCAGCUAGAAAACAGGGGAGUUUACUCCACUAGCUUACUCUACCAUGUGAUUAAUUUUAGGGGGGGUGCAACCAGUCUUCAUACCCUCGGUGUGGAAGCUAAAAAUUCCACCAAAAAUUCAUGUCUUCCUGUGGCUCCUUGCCAACAACAAACUAAUGACCAGGGAUAA
RNAcentral lists this ribosomal RNA (426 nucleotides) under Triticum aestivum (bread wheat). Its description in RNAcentral is "partial small subunit ribosomal RNA". The record is from RNAcentral. Lineage: Eukaryota; Viridiplantae; Streptophyta; Magnoliopsida; Poales; Poaceae.